GUCGAGAAUCUUCCGCAAUGGGCGCAAGCCUGACGGAGCGAUGCCGCGUGAGGGAUGAAGGCCUUCGGGUUGUAAACCUCUGUCAGAGGGGACGAAGAAUGUGACGGUACCCUCAGAGGAAGCCACGGCUAACUACGUGCCAGCAGCCGCGGUAAUACGUAGGUGGCGAGCGUUAUUCGGAUUCACUGGGCGUAAAGGGUCCGUAGGGGGUCUGCCAAGUCUGGUGUGAAAUCCCGCGGCUCAACUGCGGAACGGCACUGGAUACUGGCGGGCUAAGAGUCUGCGAGGGGUGAGCGGAAUUCCUGGUGUAGCGGUGGAAUGCGUAGAUAUCAGGAAGAACACCGAUGGCGAAGGCGGCUCACUGGCGCAGUACUGACCCUGAGGGACGAAAGCGUGGGUAGCAAACAGGAUUAGAAACCCUAGUAGUCC
This 429-nucleotide ribosomal RNA is filed under the name uncultured bacterium. RNAcentral describes it as "bacterial SSU rRNA". It matches the Rfam family "Bacterial small subunit ribosomal RNA", at positions 354 to 796 of the family's 1533-position model. The record is from RNAcentral.